AAUAAUCCUUAUAAGACUUAAACUACAAAGCUAAUAAAACCAGAGAGAAAAAUAAUAGAUAAGAAGAUAGAAGGAGUCAACUUACUUAAGGGAGUUAAACAGAAGAUUUAGAGAGAGAUUAAGACAGGAAGUCUAACGUCUCUGUUGUGCUGCUGUGAUAUGCUCUGUUUCAUAAAAAAAGGUUCGUUAAGUUUUCUGGUUUGAGACAAAAAGUGGAGACGGAGAUAAGAAGUUUUUUUGCUUAAAGAUUUGGAAGAAGGUACGUGUCUAGUUUAUUUGUUUUCUUAUUCUUUUUUUUUUUUGCUGACGAUCUUGGACGUAACUUAACUUGAGUUAAAAGAAAAAAAAAAUAAGAGAUAAAGAUGUUAUGUAUAUAGUAUAUUUAAUUUAUAACUAUCUUCCAAAAAAUAUGUAAAUAAUUUUUUUUUGUCUAAUUUUUUUUUAAUAGGAAUAAGUA
Molecule: long non-coding RNA, 457 nt
Filed under: Brassica rapa (field mustard)
Lineage: Eukaryota; Viridiplantae; Streptophyta; Magnoliopsida; Brassicales; Brassicaceae
Description: long non-coding RNA (BRAP_LNC002432)
Source: RNAcentral